This 161-nucleotide unclassified non-coding RNA is filed under the name uncultured fungus. Its description in RNAcentral is "sequence contains ITS2". The record is from RNAcentral. Lineage: Eukaryota; Fungi.
GAAGACAAUCAAGCCCUCUGGCUUGGCCUUGAGGCUGCCGUCCCUUCAGCGGGGCGGCCUCUAAAUCAGUCGGCGGUGGCCUGGAGCCUCUAGCGUAGUAGAAUACAUUCCGCUUAGAGUCUCUCGUGCUUCCAGCCUCCAGACCCCCAAACACAUUCUAA